Non-coding RNA from Caenorhabditis elegans, 148 nucleotides. The record is from Ensembl. Lineage: Eukaryota; Metazoa; Nematoda; Chromadorea; Rhabditida; Rhabditidae.
GGUGUGAUCGAAUGACUCAAAUGCCCUUGUCACCGCUUCUCCCCUUUUUUGUAUUUAUCAUCGGUUAAGGAAAGAAAGCAUGACCCUCAAAACCUGUAUGUUUUUAAUUCGUUUUCUCAGUUUUUUCAUGUUUCUUCGAAUGGCAUUA